UUUGGGGCAACUCAAAGUCAGUGGCAAACGGGUGAGUAAUGUAGAAGAAUCUACCUAGCAGUAAGGAAUAACCUUGAGAAAUCAAGGCUAAUACCAUAUAUUACCGGUUCGCCGGGAAAGAUUUAUCGCUGUUAGAUGAGCUUCUAUCAGAUUAGCUAGUUGGUAGGGUAAUGGCCUACCAAGGCGAUGAUCUGUAGCUGGUCUGAGAGGAUGAUCAGCCACACUGGAACUGAGACACGGUCCAGACUCC
This 250-nucleotide ribosomal RNA is filed under the name uncultured bacterium. RNAcentral describes it as "partial 16S ribosomal RNA". It matches the Rfam family "Bacterial small subunit ribosomal RNA", at positions 73 to 339 of the family's 1533-position model. The record is from RNAcentral.